UGAAAUGCGAAAAGUAAUGCGAUUUGCAUGAAUCUGUGAGUCAUCAAGUUUUUGAACGCACCUUGCACCGUAUGAGCAAUCGUACGGUAUACCUGUUUGAGAAUCGUAAAACACCCUUUCCCUCCAUCCAGAGGGAAGACUUGUCGGCUGUGCACGCGCACUCUGAUUAAACGUAGCAGGUUUUGGAUCGAGCUGGAGGCUCGGGACACUGUGUGCUAGAGACUACUGUAUCGCGCUGCCAGCGUGUGCGUGUCUUCUCACGGUGCGUCCCGGGUCAAUCCAAGCUGGCUCGGCUCUGGAGUCUUAACAGCGCAAGCAAAUUUAUUUGCCUGGCUACUUCUCAACUUUGAUCUCAAAUCAGGUAAGGCUACCCGCUGAACUUAA
RNAcentral lists this unclassified non-coding RNA (384 nucleotides) under uncultured fungus. RNAcentral describes it as "sequence contains ITS1". The stretch from base 1 to 106 matches the Rfam family "5.8S ribosomal RNA", at positions 49 to 154 of the family's 154-position model. Lineage: Eukaryota; Fungi. The record is from RNAcentral.